This 309-nucleotide ribosomal RNA is filed under the name Escherichia coli. RNAcentral's name for it is "bacterial SSU rRNA". It matches the Rfam family "Bacterial small subunit ribosomal RNA", at positions 1 to 306 of the family's 1533-position model. Lineage: Bacteria; Pseudomonadati; Pseudomonadota; Gammaproteobacteria; Enterobacterales; Enterobacteriaceae. The record is from RNAcentral.
AAAUUGAAGAGUUUGAUCAUGGCUCAGAUUGAACGCUGGCGGCAGGCCUAACACAUGCAAGUCGAACGGUAACAGGAAGCAGCUUGCUGCUUUGCUGACGAGUGGCGGACGGGUGAGUAAUGUCUGGGAAACUGCCUGGUGGAGGGGGAUAACUACUGGAAACGGUAGCUAAUACCGCAUAACGUCGCAAGACCAAAGAGGGGGACCUUCGGGCCUCUUGCCAUCGGAUGUGCCCAGAUGGGAUUAGCUAGUAGGUGGGGUAACGGCUCACCUAGGCGACGAUCCCUAGCUGGUCUGAGAGGAUGACCA